CAUACUAUACUUUACGUAGUCUACAAAGCCUCUAGACAAGAAACGUUAUCUUAUAAGGGUCGGGACAGGCCCCGCCUCAUGAUAAGAUACUAUACAAUGCAAAAAGAUAUGAUAAGACUCAAAGCCCCGAAGCAACCUGGAGCUCAGUGACUGCGGUUGAUAUCCUGUACUCUUACUAGGGAGGUUUAUUAGCUUCUGUACUAGGGAGGUGUAUUAGCUUCUGUACCUGCAGCAUGGAAUGCAGGUCCCCCAAGAGGGACGUCAGUACGAAAUAAUGUACUGAAUAUGUAAGGCAAUAUGUAAUAUAUGAGAUAAAAACUCAAAUGAAACCAUGUACUGCUGUGGGGUAAAAGACCACCUUUAUGAAUAUUGUGGAGUCAUGUGUCUUAUAACAAUUAUGUUACUUUACUCUUAUUACUUGAAUAAUCUGUGCACAGCAUGUAAUACAAAUGACCAGCUGAUCAGUGGUAAUUCUAUAUCAGGAUCGACCCAUGCUAGGCUUUCCUUUCACCCCUGGGAUACCCCCUGUAAUACUGGGAUUGACCCAUGCUAGGUGAUUCUUUCACCCCUGGGAUACCACCCAACAGAAGCAACUGUAUACAUA
Molecule: long non-coding RNA, 604 nt
Filed under: Capsicum annuum
Lineage: Eukaryota; Viridiplantae; Streptophyta; Magnoliopsida; Solanales; Solanaceae
Description: long non-coding RNA (CANN_LNC016699)
Source: RNAcentral